CUCGCCGGAAGACCAAGGGUUCCUGUCCAACGUUAAUCGGGGCAGGGUGAGUCGACCCCUAAGGCGAGGCCGAAAGGCGUAGUCGAUGGGAAACAGGUUAAUAUUCCUGUACUUGGUGUUACUGCGAAGGGGGGACGGAGAAGGCUAUGUUGGCCGGGCGACGGUUGUCCCGGUUUAAGCGUGUAGGCUGGUUUUCCAGGCAAAUCCGGAAAAUCAAGGCUGAGGCGUGAUGACGAGGCACUACGGUGCUGAAGCAACAAAUGCCCUGCUUCCAGGAAAAGCCUCUAAGCAUCAGGUAACAUCAAAUCGUACCCCAAACCGACACAGGUGGUCAGGUAGAGAAUACCAAGGCGCUUGAGAGAACUCGGGUGAAGGAACUAGGCAAAAUGGUGCCGUAACUUCGGGAGAAGGCACGCUGAUAUGUAGGUGAAGUCCCUCGCGGAUGGAGCUGAAAUCAGUCGAAGAUACCAGCUGGCUGCAACUGUUUAUUAAAAACACAGCACUGUGCAAACACGAAAGUGGACGUAUACGGUGUGACGCCUGCCCGGUGCCGGAAGGUUAAUUGAUGGGGUCAGCGCAAGCGAAGCUCUUGAUCGAAGCCCCGGUAAACGGCGGCCGUAACUAUAACGGUCCUAAGGUAGCGAAAUUCCUUGUCGGGUAAGUUCCGACCUGCACGAAUGGCGUAAUGAUGGCCAGGCUGUCUCCACCCGAGACUCAGUGAAAUUGAACUCGCUGUGAAGAUGCAGUGUACCCGCGGCAAGACGGAAAGACCCCGUGAACCUUUACUAUAGCUUGACACUGAACAUUGAGCCUUGAUGUGUAGGAUAGGUGGGAGGCUUAGAAGUGUGGACGCCAGUCUGCAUGGAGCCGACCUUGAAAUACCACCCUUUAAUGUUUGAUGUUCUAACGUUGACCCGUAAUCCGGGUUGCGGACAGUGUCUGGUGGGUAGUUUGACUGGGGCGGUCUCCUCCUAAAGAGUAACGGAGGAGCACGAAGGUUGGCUAAUCCUGGUCGGACAUCAGGAGGUUAGUGCAAUGGCAUAAGCCAGCUUGACUGCGAGCGUGACGGCGCGAGCAGGUGCGAAAGCAGGUCAUAGUGAUCCGGUGGUUCUGAAUGGAAGGGCCAUCGCUCAACGGAUAAAAGGUACUCCGGGGAUAACAGGCUGAUACCGCCCAAGAGUUCAUAUCGACGGCGGUGUUUGGCACCUCGAUGUCGGCUCAUCACAUCCUGGGGCUGAAGUAGGUCCCAAGGGUAUGGCUGUUCGCCAUUUAAAGUGGUACGCGAGCUGGGUUUAGAACGUCGUGAGACAGUUCGGUCCCUAUCUGCCGUGGGCGCUGGAGAACUGAGGGGGGCUGCUCCUAGUACGAGAGGACCGGAGUGGACGCAUCACUGGUGUUCGGGUUGUCAUGCCAAUGGCACUGCCCGGUAGCUAAAUGCGGAAGAGAUAAGUGCUGAAAGCAUCUAAGCACGAAACUUGCCCCGAGAUGAGUUCUCCCUGACCCUUUGAGAGUCCUGAAGGAACGUUGAAGACGACGACGUUGAUAGGCCGGGUGUGUAAGCGCAGCGAUGCGUUGAGCUAACCGGUACUAAUGAACCGUGAGGCUUAACCUU
This 1612-nucleotide ribosomal RNA is filed under the name Escherichia coli 1-182-04_S1_C3. RNAcentral describes it as "bacterial LSU rRNA". It matches the Rfam family "Bacterial large subunit ribosomal RNA", at positions 1333 to 2925 of the family's 2925-position model. The record is from RNAcentral. Lineage: Bacteria; Pseudomonadati; Pseudomonadota; Gammaproteobacteria; Enterobacterales; Enterobacteriaceae.